UAAAUUCGGUUGUCAAUUUUGUCAUUUGCAUAUGUCGAUUUGUAAGUUAUAAGUAAUAGAUUGUUGUGAAUCAAGCAAUUUUAUAAUAUAUUUAUUAUAAUAAAGAAAUUUUAGUAACGCGCUUAAAAUAGAUGCUUAAUUAAAAAGUAAUAAGUUUUAUUUGAACGGAAAUAAAUCUUAAUUUAAACACUUGAAUAGACAAGUGUAAUCAUUCGUCAUAGAAAAAGACGAGGGGCGAUUUAGAUAAAUUGUUGAAAG
This 258-nucleotide small RNA is filed under the name Staphylococcus aureus. RNAcentral's name for it is "5'UTR". The record is from RNAcentral. Lineage: Bacteria; Bacillati; Bacillota; Bacilli; Caryophanales; Staphylococcaceae.